This 526-nucleotide ribosomal RNA is filed under the name uncultured bacterium. Its description in RNAcentral is "bacterial SSU rRNA". It matches the Rfam family "Bacterial small subunit ribosomal RNA", at positions 338 to 837 of the family's 1533-position model. The record is from RNAcentral.
CCUACGGGAGGCAGCAGUGGGGAAUUUUGGACAAUGGGCGCAAGCCUGAUCCAGCAAUGCCGCGUGCAGGAUGAAGGCCUUCGGGUUGUAAACUGCUUUUGUACGGAACGAAACGGUCUGCUCUAAUACAGUGGGCUAAUGACGGUACCGUAAGAAUAAGCACCGGCUAACUACGUGCCAGCAGCCGCGGUAAUACGUAGGGUGCGAGCGUUAAUCGGAAUUACUGGGCGUAAAGCGUGCGCAGGCGGUUAUAUAAGACAGAUGUGAAAUCCCCGGGCUCAACCUGGGACCUGCAUUUGUGACUGUAUAGCUAGAGUGCGGCAGAGGGGGAUGGAAUUCCGCGUGUAGCAGUGAAAUGCGUAGAUAUGCGGAGGAACACCGAUGGCGAAGGCAAUCCCCUGGGCCUGCACUGACGCUCAUGCACGAAACGACGGUGGGGAGGACGAAACGAAGGAGUUAGUAUACCCUACGGUACGUACCGACCGACCCGUAAACCGAACUGUCAACUGGUUGGUUGGGUUCGUUC